RNAcentral lists this ribosomal RNA (570 nucleotides) under uncultured bacterium. Its description in RNAcentral is "bacterial SSU rRNA". It matches the Rfam family "Bacterial small subunit ribosomal RNA", at positions 338 to 916 of the family's 1533-position model. The record is from RNAcentral.
CCUACGGGAGGCAGCAGUGGGGAAUAUUGCGCAAUGGGCGAAAGCCUGACGCAGCCACGCCGCGUGAGUGAUGAAGGCCUUCGGGUUGUAAAGCUCUGUCGGGAGGGACGAAGGGGAAACCCUGACGGUACCUCGCAAGAAAGCACCGGCUAACUCUGUGCCAGCAGCCGCGGUAAUACAGAGGGUGCAAGCGUUGCUCGGAUUUACUGGGCGUAAAGCGUACGCAGACGGUGAGAAAGGUCGGAUGUGAAAGCCCCGGGCUCAACCCGGGAACUGCAUCCGAAACCAUCUCGCUAGAGUAUGAGAGAGGGAAGCGGAAUUCCUGGUGUAGAGGUGAAAUUCGUAGAUAUCAGGAGGAACACCGGCGGCGAAGGCGGCUUCCUGGCUCAUUACUGACGUUCAGGUACGAAAGCGUGGGUAGCAAACAGGAUUAGAUACCCUGGUAGUCCACGCCGUAAACGAUGUGUGCUGGAUGUCGGGGGUAUUCACCCCCUCGGUAUCGAAGCUAACGCGUGAAGUUGACCGCCUGGGGAGUACGGCCGCAAGGUUGAAACUCAAAGGAAUUGACGG